RNAcentral lists this ribosomal RNA (253 nucleotides) under uncultured bacterium. RNAcentral's name for it is "partial 16S ribosomal RNA". It matches the Rfam family "Bacterial small subunit ribosomal RNA", at positions 524 to 776 of the family's 1533-position model. The record is from RNAcentral.
UACGAAGGGGGCUAGCGUUGCUCGGAAUCACUGGGCGUAAAGGGUGCGUAGGCGGGUCUUUAAGUCAGGGGUGAAAUCCUGGAGCUCAACUCCAGAACUGCCUUUGAUACUGAGGAUCUUGAGUACGGGAGAGGUGAGUGGAACUGCGAGUGUAGAGGUGAAAUUCGUAGAUAUUCGCAAGAACACCAGUGGCGAAGGCGGCUCACUGGCCCGUUACUGACGCUGAGGCACGAAAGCGUGGGGAGCAAAUAGG